ACGGGUGAGUAACGCGUGGGAAUCUACCGUACCCUACGGAAUAGCUCCGGGAAACUGGAAUUAAUACCGUAUACGCCCUACGGGGGAAAGAUUUAUCGGGGUAUGAUGAGCCCGCGUUGGGUUAGCUAGUUGGUGGGGUAAAGGCCUACCAAGGCGACGAUCCAUAGCUGGUCUGAGAGGAUGAUCAGCCACAUUGGGACUGAGACACGGCCCAAACUCCUACGGGAGGCAGCAGUGGGGAAUAUUGGACAAUGGGCGCAAGCCUGAUCCAGCCAUGCCGCGUGAGUGAUGAAGGUCUUAGGAUUGUAAAGCUCUUUCACCGAUGAAGAUAAUGACGGUAGUCGGAGAAGAAGCCCCGGCUAACUUCGUGCCAGCAGCCGCGGUAAUACGAAGGGGGCUAGCGUUGUUCGGAAUUACUGGGCGUAAAGCGCACGUAGGCGGAUAUUUAAGUCAGGGGUGAAAUCCCAGAGCUCAACUCUGGAACUGCCUUUGAUACUGGGUAUCUUGAGUAUGGAAGAGGUAAGUGGAAUUCCGAGUGUAGAGGUGAAAUUCGUAGA
Molecule: ribosomal RNA, 557 nt
Filed under: uncultured bacterium
Lineage: Bacteria
Description: bacterial SSU rRNA
Rfam family: Bacterial small subunit ribosomal RNA
Source: RNAcentral